UACGUAGGUGGCAAGCGUUACUCGGAAUCACUAGGCGUAAAGCGCAGGUAGGAGGUUUGGUAAGUCUCUUGUGAAAGCUCCCGGCUUAACUGGGAGAGGUCAAGGGAAACUACUAGGCUGGAGUCCGAUAGAGGUGGGUGGAAUUCCUAGUGUAGAGGUGAAAUUCGUAGAUAUUAGGAAGAACACCGGUGGCGAAGGCGGCCCACUGGAUCGGUACUGACGCUGAGGUGCGAAAGCGUGGGGAGCAAACAGG
This 253-nucleotide ribosomal RNA is filed under the name uncultured bacterium. Its description in RNAcentral is "partial 16S ribosomal RNA". It matches the Rfam family "Bacterial small subunit ribosomal RNA", at positions 524 to 776 of the family's 1533-position model. The record is from RNAcentral.